This 484-nucleotide ribosomal RNA is filed under the name uncultured bacterium. RNAcentral describes it as "partial 16S ribosomal RNA". It matches the Rfam family "Bacterial small subunit ribosomal RNA", at positions 30 to 507 of the family's 1533-position model. The record is from RNAcentral.
AUUGAACGCUGGCGGCAGGCCUAACACAUGCAAGUCGAGCGGAUGAAGGGAGCUUGCUCCUGGAUUCAGCGGCGGACGGGUGAGUAAUGCCUAGGAAUCUGCCUGGUAGUGGGGGAUAACGUCCGGAAACGGGCGCUAAUACCGCAUACGUCCCGAGGGAGAAAGUGGGGGAUCUUCGGACCUCACGCUAUCAGAUGAGCCUAGGUCGGAUUAGCUAGUUGGUGGGGUAAAGGCCUACCAAGGCGACGAUCCGUAACUGGUCUGAGAGGAUGAUCAGUCACACUGGAACUGAGACACGGUCCAGACUCCUACGGGAGGCAGCAGUGGGGAAUAUUGGACAAUGGGCGAAAGCCUGAUCCAGCCAUGCCGCGUGUGUGAAGAAGGUCUUCGGAUUGUAAAGCACUUUAAGUUGGGAGGAAGGGCAGUAAGUUAAUGCCUUGCUGUUUUGACGUUACCAACAGAAUAAGCACCGGCUAACUUCGUG